GACGAACGCUGGCGGCGUGCUUAACACAUGCAAGUCGAACGGAAAGGCUCCAGCUUGCUGGAGUACUCGAGUGGCGAACGGGUGAGUAACACGUGGGUGAUCUGCCCUGCACUUCGGGAUAAGCCUGGGAAACUGGGUCUAACACCGGAUAGGACCGCACUUUGGUGUGUGUGGUGGAAAGGUUUUUCUGGUGUGGGAUGAGCUCGCGGCCUAUCAGUUUGUUGGUGGGGUAAUGGCCUACCAAGACGGCGACGGGUAGCCGGCCUGAGAGGGUGGACGGGCACAUUGGGACUGAGAUACGGCCCAGACUCCUACGGGAGGCAGCAGUGGGGAAUAUUGCACAAUGGGGGAAACCCUGAUGCAGCGACGCCGCGUGGGGGAGGAAGGCCUUCGGGUUGGAAACUCCUUUCGCUAGGGACGAAGCUUUUUGUGACGGUACCUGGAGAAGAAGCACCGGCUAACUACGUG
This 468-nucleotide ribosomal RNA is filed under the name uncultured bacterium. Its description in RNAcentral is "partial 16S ribosomal RNA". It matches the Rfam family "Bacterial small subunit ribosomal RNA", at positions 28 to 507 of the family's 1533-position model. The record is from RNAcentral.